This 2744-nucleotide long non-coding RNA is filed under the name Heterocephalus glaber (naked mole-rat). RNAcentral describes it as "lncRNA (ENSHGLG00100034494.1)". The record is from RNAcentral. Lineage: Eukaryota; Metazoa; Chordata; Mammalia; Rodentia; Bathyergidae.
GGAAGACGCUGGGGAGAGCGUUGAAGGGCGGGUCCCAGGGACUAAAGGGACCUCGGGACUCUUUGGAGUCUGUCAGCCGGGUCAGGACCCGGGGAGGGAAGGUGGAGGUGGACCCUGACCCAGGCGAGUGACGGUGGGCCUGCACGAUCGCGGAGAUGGACUUGAGGAGCAGGAACGGGUCUAGGGGAUAACAUUCCUCUUUUCUCGCGUUGGAAUUCAAAGGCUGGACCGGAGGUCCGGCGGCGUCCAGUUGCCUUGGCAACCGGCGGUGUGGGCGGGGUUAACGGGCUAAGGGGUAGAGGGUGUCUGGGUGGGACUCAGAGGUGAAGCGGAGCGAGUGCUUCUGCUAGAUAUGAACAGCUUCCGCAGUUUCCCCGAACAUUUUGGGCAUUACCCACUCCUAAGCUACAGCACAUGCUCUUUUUGCCGGUUAUGUCUUUCCCUCCCCUCAGUCUCUGGCGGCCCCCCUCACCUCGGUGAUUUAGUUGCCCCGAGAUAUACAAUGCUGUGCCCUGAAUUUGCAAAGCAGGGCCCCCGGCCCCAAUACACUCCCUGAGUCGUGUACCAGAAGUGUCCCCACCCUGCUGCUCCCCUUUCGGGACGCACUAAGCAACAGCUCAAGCUCACAGAAGCAUAGAAGAGGCAAGAAACCCCCGCUCAUGUCACCUGCCGCGGCCCCGAUGAGGGCACGGACUGCCAUCCUUCUCGGACACAGUGGCCUCUUAGCCACAGGGUUCUCCAGACCUCUGCCCCACAAUCCUAAAGCCCUCUUGCUCUGUCUCCCAGGGCCCAGCGUUCUUUUUAGACUGUGGGUUACAAGAGGUUGGGGACUGAUCUGAGUGGCAACUCCAUACAAAAUCUCUUGGAGACCCCAAAAUUGCUUUAGUCUAUCGCUUGCUAUGAGGCUUGGGAUGGGAGUAUAGCCCAGCGGUAGAUGAGUGAGGCCCUGGGUUCCACCUCAAGUACCAUAAAAAAAAAAAAAAAAAAUAAUAGGGCUUCAAAUUCCCAGUUUGACUCAAAUUCUUUCCAUCAUUUAUAAGCCUCUCCAAGUCUGUAAAAUGGACAUAAUAGUGAUACAGGGUGUAUGAUAUAGGACCUCCAAAUAAUCCAAAUUAUGUAAGGGAAAUAUAACUCCCAACCUUCUAGGUAUCCCAACCUUCUAGGUAUCCAAACCACCGAGUUCGUGUUCUCUGAAAUCAAAGAAAGUACUCUAGGAAAACAGAGGUUAAAAGUAGGAAGAAUUUAUUGAGGGGAAGACAGCUCCUGCCUGAGAGACAGGAGGGGGCACCCAGAAAGUGGAUUGCCUAGGACCAGCGUUUUAAGAGUUUUUUAUGGAGCAAAGCCUGAGGUGAGGCGGGUACAAAGUGGGACAAAGCUAUAGUCAACUAAUAAGAUCCAAUGGAAAAUCAGAAGGUGUGUAUGAGGUAGGACAAAACUAUGAUCAACCAGUAAGAUUACAAGUACAGUUGCUUAGGAAAUAUUGAUUAAAUGGGGAUCAAAUAGGGAAACAAGUCACAUAGCAAGCAUGUAUGGAAGGAACAAGAAUUUCCAGAAAGGGAGGGGUAAGGUCUUGGGCCCCCAGCCGGGUGAUCAAUACCUAUUUAGAAUGUCAGUUACCGCUGUUCAGCCCUAGGGGAAGUAUGUAGAUGCAGUUGUUCCUCUUGGAUCCUGGUCUUGAGUAAAUGGGCCUGGAUUUUCUUCUGUAUUGACUCCCUCAAGGGCCUGGCCCUGUGUGACUGCCUACAACAUAUGUAAUUAACUUAGUUCUCUAUACUAAUAGUAUCUAUGUUAUAUAGGACACAUGAUAUAUACCUGCAUGCCAUUAUAUAUCACAUAUAUGAAUUGUGUAUCACACAUAUAUCAAUCUGCAUAUCAAGUACAUAUAUCUAUACAACAUAUGCAUAUUCUGUAUUUUCAUACACAGAUGAUGUUUCUUCAGGCUCAACACUAGUACACAUAGGUGCACAAACACGCAUGUGCACAUCACACACACACACACAGUCCUGGCACCAGUAACAGCAGCUUGCAGAACCUGAAGGAAACAGGUGGGAGGUGGUGGUCUUUGAGUCAGUUUUCAUAUCCUGCAGUGGUUGAGGCUUUGGAAGGGCAGCCCCCGAUCUGUUGAUUUUGGCUGCCUGGCCCUUCUACCUCACUCUGUGUGCUCUGCAGGGCUCCUCAGAUGAUUGUGCACAAAGAGAGCAUCCCAUGAGCCUGGGCUCCCAUGGCAUCCAAAGACAAAGACAUAGUGCCCUCACUGGGCUCCCCCUGGGACGCCAUCCUCCAGGCUGCCAAAGACCAGCUCCCGUCCCUGGACUCCGACUCCUCCUUGGUGAGCAAGAGCUUUCUCCUAAGCAUCAAGUGACCUUCCCAUGAUGUGCAUGACACCGGCCAAGGACAGCUUUGGAGCACUCCUCUCUGAAGACCUCCCUCCACUCUAUGGGAUUUGUUUUCCUUUUCCUUUCACUCUUCUGGCCUUAAAGGUGUUUUCUAGUACCCACUUCCUUCUUUAUCUUUCCUUCUGCAUUUGUCAGUAUCUCUGAAUACAUGUAUUGGUCCUCAGCAUCCACCAUUUCAGUGGUGGUUCUGGGCUCCACCUGUAAGCCAGGUGAGCUCUGCUGCUAAGUUCUUGAAUUUUUGUGUGUGUCUGUCUACCAUGAACUACACCCCUAGCCUUGCUGUGCUGUUCUUGACAAGACAAGUGCCAGCCCCACCACUUGGAGUGGUGACCAUACCAGUGCAUUGUG